UACGGGGGGGGCAAGCGUUGUCCGGAAUUACUGGGCGUAAAGGGCUCGUAGGUGGCCAACUAAGUCGGACGUGAAAUCCCUCGGCUUAACCGGGGAACUGCGUCUGAUACUGGAUGGCUUGAGUUCGGGAGAGGGAUGCGGAAUUCCAGGUGUAGCGGUGAAAUGCGUAGAUAUCUGGAGGAACACCGGUGGCGAAGGCGGCAUCCUGGACCGACACUGACGCUGAGGAGCGAAAGCCAGGGGAGCAAACGGG
RNAcentral lists this ribosomal RNA (253 nucleotides) under uncultured bacterium. Its description in RNAcentral is "partial 16S ribosomal RNA". It matches the Rfam family "Bacterial small subunit ribosomal RNA", at positions 524 to 776 of the family's 1533-position model. The record is from RNAcentral.